Molecule: long non-coding RNA, 585 nt
Organism: Odontomachus brunneus
Lineage: Eukaryota; Metazoa; Arthropoda; Insecta; Hymenoptera; Formicidae
Exons: 5
Source: RefSeq, a predicted model, not a curated record
CUGAACGCGGCCAUGUAUCCCCGCCUAGGAAAAAAAUUAAUUAAUAUAUUCAUUAUUUAUCUAGCUUGAUGAAUGUCUUCUUGCUGGACGACAGUUGCACUAGUCUAGUCUAUUAGUUUCUUCAUCCUUGCCCGCAAAUAGCAGAUGAAGGUUGAAUGAAUGAGAAAUUACAGCUACUAGAGGACGAGGCCGUGGAAGAGCACGAGCACGAUGAUACCAGCAAAGAGGAAAAAUAUGGAGACCAUUUGGAAGUUUUUGGAGAGGUGGUGGCGGUAGAGGCGGUAGAGGAGAUAGAGGAGGCAUAAAAGAACGUCGCUAUAACAAUUUGCUUUUACGCGCCAUUCAUACUUCAAUUGGUGUAUAUCUCCAUUUCGUAUUGACAUCACCUGUUUAGUUCGGCCACAUCCUUAGUACAGGGCAUCAAUCAUGAAUCUUUUCACCCAUCAACCGUGUAGGUAAAACGUGAAAAGCCAUGGAUGCUUCCGAAAUAUCCAGAGUUGGAUCGAGUUGAGUUAGUUUUACUAUAGUAUAUGUAUCAACUCAACCCAGCGCAUUUGCAUAGAGCAUAAUUACAUUAAAGUGAGA